Molecule: ribosomal RNA, 253 nt
Filed under: uncultured bacterium
Lineage: Bacteria
Description: partial 16S ribosomal RNA
Rfam family: Bacterial small subunit ribosomal RNA
Source: RNAcentral
UACAGAGGGGGCGAGCGUUGUUCGGAAUUACUGGGCGUAAAGGGCGCGUAGGCGGCCCGCUAAGUCGAACGUGAAAUCCCCAGGCUCAACCUGGGAACUGCGUCCGAUACUGGCAGGCUUGAAUCCGGGAGAGGGAUGUGGAAUUCCAGGUGUAGCGGUGAAAUGCGUAGAUAUCUGGAGGAACACCGGUGGCGAAGGCGGCAUCCUGGACCGGUAUUGACGCUGAGGCUCGAAAGCAUGGGGAGCAAACAGG